AGAAGCUGCGGAGAGGCCGUGUCGGUCAAGGGACUUCCGCCCCACUGGCUGUCAUGAUCAGAUUCCGAUCUUUCUGUGUGAAAUCCCGAAUACUGAAACCGAGUAGGGGAGAAAAGUCCAUUUCAAAAAUCAAUCGAUCAGUAAGAGAAAACAAACAAACAAAAAACAGCCUUUAUUUACUCUACAAGCACCCUUAAGGUCUCAUUGUCCUGAGGUCGUCAAAAUAACCGUUGCUUUGGCAUCAUGGCUGUGCACACCUAACUUGGAAUUACUUAAUUCAUUAUGAUGCUUCCAAAGAAAAUCCUUUUGGUUGAUGAAAGCAGGAGAUAAAGAUAAUAAUGGCAACCAUCGACUGAAGUACUAGGCACUGAAUGAAGUGCCUCAUAUGAACUAUCCACUUAGCUCCUGCAGUAAACCCUUAAUGGCGCUAUUAGUAUCCCCAGUUUAGGGAUAGAGAAGCUAACGCUCAGAGAGAGAAAGUGAUUUGCCCAAAGCCACAGUGUUAGCAGGUGACACAACCAAGAUUCAGACCCAGGUUCUUCGUCUACCCUAACAGUAUUGCCAAAGAGAGAUUCCAAAGUUACCGCCUGGCCACUGGGUAAACCUCCGCAGCAGAGAGACCUACUUUAUGUUUCAUUUUCAAGCUCCUAUGGAGCCCAGCAGAGAGAGCUGACAAGGAGGAAUACUGCGAGGGGCUCACAGACUAAGACAAUCUGCUGGGAAAUUAGGAUUUUCAGAACAUAUGGUGGGCAUACAGAAGUCAGUAAAAAGCAUCAAGGCGUAUACCACCUGCCUCUAAAAUCAUCCAGUUUUCCUAUAUGCCCUGUUGCAACUGCUUAUUAAAACAAGGUUGCUAAAUAAUUCAUUGUUGCUUUUGUUAGAUAAUAAUAACUUAUUUUUUAGGCAUAUUUUAACUUCAGCAAUAAAUCAGGAAAUUAGAAAA
RNAcentral lists this long non-coding RNA (943 nucleotides) under Homo sapiens (human). Its description in RNAcentral is "HSALNT0335859". Lineage: Eukaryota; Metazoa; Chordata; Mammalia; Primates; Hominidae. The record is from RNAcentral.